Long non-coding RNA from Cyanistes caeruleus (blue tit), 3650 nucleotides. RefSeq lists it as uncharacterized. NCBI's taxonomy places the organism in Eukaryota, Metazoa, Chordata, Aves, Passeriformes, Paridae. The record is from RefSeq and is a predicted model, not a curated record.
CAGUUAAUUUUGUUACUGAAAUCCUGAAUAAAAAGACUUCCUUAUAUGGUACUGCUGGAUUCCACUUAACUGGAGUUACUUUACUGACAUGGACUGAACUACAGUAUCAGAGCAAUGCUUCAUGACCUAAGACAGUGGCUUUUACUCUCCCUUCAUGCUCUGCAGAAAAGGACUGCCAGUGAACAUGUGCAAAUGGGAUUGGAAAAUUUAAAAUAAAAACAAAAACAAACAACCUUAUAUCUGAUUAUUUUCUUCCUAUGCAGUUGUGAGCAGCCACACAGUAAGAGGUGGUUUUAGAAGUCUCAAAAGACUGUUGUGGCACACACCUUUCAGAAUUUAGAGGCAGAAAAGCAAGUCCUACCUCACAUUUCAGAAAGUUGAAUUUGGUUUCUGCCAAGCUGACUUCUUAUAAACUGGUACAGAGCUUUGAAAGCAACUCAGUAUCUUGUGUGCACUAUGGCAAACAGCCACAAAAGUCAUUGCUGUAGCAGGAAGCAAAUCUCCCACCAUUUUUGCAGAACAAUGGGCAGGCAUAAAAAAAUGUUAGCAGCUGGAGUGGCCUGCUAGGUUGUAGGAUGGGUGGAGUUUGAAAAAGGGUUCCCUUGCCAAGAUUCAAGAGCAAUUCCCUUAAUUCUGAUGGCCUUUAGUUGGAAAUAUUGUUUUUGCCCCCUGUAGUAUUAAUUGCAGCUGUUUCUGGAAAGAUUGUGAAAGAAAAUGAUGGGAGAAAUAAACUGGGUUUGGGGGAGGUCUGAAUUCUUCCUUCAUAAGUCUUCCCAGGAAGAAGUAGAUCUGUCCCAGGGGCUCAAUUAUCUGUGUGCUUCACUCUUCUUUGCUCUGGUUUUGCACAGUAGUUCAGAGAGAAAGAAAGCAUCAGCUCCACACUAAUUGUACUUCCUCUGACACCAGCAAUGCAAAUUUUUUCCAAUGUCCCCCUGAAAUCUUAUCAGGUCAUGCUUGAAUGUAAUAAAAUUAAUUGAAUUCUUUCAGUAUAGCUUUCACUUUAGCUAUGCCAGUGUCAAGAUUUGAAGGACCCACUUUUUAUUUCAAGGGCCAUUUACACUUCUCUGGCAAAGAAACUGCAGUAAUAAAAACAUAUGUUCCAUCACAUAGUGUGUGAAUAGGAAUCAGCCACACAGAAUCUUCAUGAACUAAUAAAUAAAAUUUCACACAUAACAAAACUGUUUCUGGACAUAAUACUUAGAUAUUUUUAUAUUUAUAUAAACAGCAUUGCAUAGUCUCUGAAAAUUCCCACAAUAUCAUACACUAUACUACAAAAGAGAUCAACUUAAAAAUGCUAUUGUUUUCUUCCAAAAUGUCCCAAUAUUGCAUCAGUUAAAUUGCCUUCCUUCUGUUUAUCUCAAAAAUUUGCUUAUUAGCUUUCUGAUUCAUUUUUUUUUAAUUUAAGUGAAAUGAUUAGUAAAAGGGUGAAAUGAAUAUUUUAGAUCUAAGUGAAAAGAUAAAUUAAAAUAUUUUACCCUUAUUAAAUAUAUAUUUUUUCAGCAAAAUAAUUUAAACAGAGGAACAGCUUCAGUGAGACCUAAAUCCUUAAAUUAUGUUUAAAGCUAAAUGGACUUAUGGGGGUUUUUGUAGAACAGGUCUGAACACAGGUAUGUUUUAAAGCACUUUAAUGAAUCAAUCUUAAAUAUGUGCCUAAAUCCUAUUUGCUUCACUGAAACUCAAACAUGUUGCUUUCUGUGUACACAUGUUGACCUCAGUCAUUUCUGGUUUAAUAACAUAAGCCUACUGAACUGUCAGGAGUCAAACAUUCCCCCAUUUUUAUAUCCAGGGGUACCCAUACGGGACUGCUAGUAACCCCUGGAUAUUUCUCCCAAUAGAGAAGAAUUGUCUGACCAAUAUAAUAUUGGAAACAUCAGUCUCCAAAAUUUGCACAGUUCUUGUUUCCUUGAAACACUGCAGUCUAAAGUGUUAGAAAUACAUGUGCUGGUACAUAUAUGUGUGUGAGAGUAUCUGGUGUACACAAGACAGAUGUGUUUAUUUGUAAGACACAGACUUUCUGGUUCUAUUUUUGUGCCACAGAACUAUUUCUAAGCAUCUUGGAUGGAUAUAGUAACCUCAAGGAUUCAAUGGUUCAUGUUUUGUUCAAAUGCUCCUUACAGGAAAUUUGAAUUGAAAUAUGGCUUUAAAGUGCUCUUAAUUCUAGUCUCUUCUAAGACCUUUUCUUAAGAUUCUGAUGGUACAUGUAUGAGUUUCUAACAAAAACUAGUAGGAGAAAAUGGUUUAUUGAGCUUCAGAAUGUACCUGCAAAAUCAGAAAAUGAACAAAAUAGCACCUUCGUCUAAUGUAAUUGCUUCCUGUAAAUAUUAAGAGAGCAAAAUCAGAUUUAGUGGCAUGUGGUUUGAAGAGACUUUAUGACUUGAUAUGCCAAACCCCAGGAGCUGAAGAGGUUAGAAUAGUAACCAAUACCUGAUACUACUGAGAGCAGUAGUAUGUGUAUAAGCUGUGCACUUCUCCAGCCUGCAGUUCAGAUCAAACUGUAUGGCAGAGGAAUUUCUGAGCAGAUGGAUCUACUAAUUAGAGAGGAGGAAUCAUGAACUCAGAACUCUUAACUAACUCUAUUCUGUCAGUUCCAAAGCCUUUGGAAUUCUCCACUCAUAUUCCAUCAGCCACAGCAGAAAACCUUGUACUGUAGUAGUAUUAAUCUUUUUAAAUGUGUUCAUAUGUUUAAAAGCAUCUCUGUUCACCUGAAAAUUCCUCUGGCAACUUUCGAGCAAGGAUGUGAUGGGCAUUUCCACAAAAUGUCACACCCACAUUGCAUCCUCGACUAAGGAUCAGAGCUUUAAGCUGGUGUGCUUCAAUUUCAGACAGUCUGACUGGAAUUUCCUUUCUAAGCAAACAUUCCAAAGCAUGUUUUAUUACACUUCUGGUAAAACAUUUCAAAUUUAAAUGACAACAAAAAGAAAACAUUUAUUGCUUUAAUACAUAAUAACAAGUGGAUAUUAUUAUUUUUAAGUACUUUAAAAACCCUAAGAACUAUAAUAAUUUGACGAUUACAGAGAUGUUAGCAUGUGAUUAUACAGUGUUUUAAUCUGUAUUCAUUUUAUACAUGAAAUAAAGUUCAUGAAACAGUAAGCAGCAACUCUGCUAUGCAUGUGUAUUAGCUACAAUUAGCAGCCUGAUCCAGAAAAUGCUGAGCACCCUCAUACUUUGACCAGUCAGUGUGAGAAGAUGGUCAGCAGCCUUCUAGGAUGGGGCCCAAAUGAUGGCACUGGAAGAAGUAUGUGAUGGCAAUGACAAUAUUUUAAUGGACAUUUUCUCAUGGAAUCUCUAAGAAAAUACAUUUUCAUAGUCAUUGAUAAGCACCAGCUCACAACACUGCAUGUGGCUGCAUCACUUGCACAGUACACUUCCUGACAAACUGCAUAUACAAUACAUCUAGAAUUCUCAGUAUAGAGAGAACUGUAGCACUUACAAAUUACCACAGGGAAAAUACAGUUUAUAGUAGCAUUUCCAACAGUGACAUUGCAACAUUACUUUAGCGACUAUGUUCCUUAUGCAAAAGAAAAAUAAAAAGUAGUCAGUGACAUACUUCCUGAAAUUUUAAUACUGGCUUUCAGGUGUUAACAAUCUAAAGUGCUUUCAUGUUUCAUACAGUUUUAAAAAUUUUCAAUUUAUACAAAAAAAAAAAAAAA